UUACGGGAGGCAGCAGUGGGGAAUAUUGCACAAUGGGCGAAAGCCUGAUGCAGCAACGCCGCGUGAGUGAUGAAGGCCUUCGGGUUGUAAAGCUCUGUCUUUGGGGACGAUAAUGACGGUACCCAAGGAGGAAGCCACGGCUAACUACGUGCCAGCAGCCGCGGUAAUACGUAGGUGGCAAGCGUUGUCCGGAUUUACUGGGCGUAAAGGAUGCGUAGGCGGAUAUUUAAGUGAGAUGUGAAAUUCCCGGGCUUAACUUGGGAGCUGCAUUUCAAACUGGAUAUCUAGAGUGUGGGAGAGGAGAAUGGAAUUCCUAGUGUAGCGGUGAAAUGCGUAGAGAUUAGGAAGAACACCAGUGGCGAAGGCGAUUCUCUGGACCAUAACUGACGCUGAGGCAUGAAAGCGUGGGUAGCAAACAGGAUUAGAUACCCCGGUAGA
This 438-nucleotide ribosomal RNA is filed under the name uncultured bacterium. RNAcentral describes it as "bacterial SSU rRNA". It matches the Rfam family "Bacterial small subunit ribosomal RNA", at positions 339 to 794 of the family's 1533-position model. The record is from RNAcentral.